This 86-nucleotide transfer RNA is filed under the name Planctomycetaceae bacterium. RNAcentral describes it as "tRNA-Leu". It matches the Rfam family "tRNA". From Rfam's summary of the family: Transfer RNA (tRNA) molecules are approximately 80 nucleotides in length. Their secondary structure includes four short double-helical elements and three loops (D, anti-codon, and T loops). Lineage: Bacteria; Pseudomonadati; Planctomycetota; Planctomycetia; Planctomycetales; Planctomycetaceae. The record is from RNAcentral.
GCCCAAGUGGCGGAACUGGCAGACGCGCUAGGUUGAGGGCCUAGUGUCCUUUAUUGGACGUGGAGGUUCGAGUCCUCUCUUGGGCA